Panicum virgatum (switchgrass) is the source of this 175-nucleotide long non-coding RNA. RefSeq lists it as uncharacterized. Lineage: Eukaryota; Viridiplantae; Streptophyta; Magnoliopsida; Poales; Poaceae. The transcript has 2 exons. The record is from RefSeq and is a predicted model, not a curated record.
CGCGCAAAAAAACAAGCUCAUCAACCGAAGGGGGUGGGGAUCCAAAUCUGUCACAACAGCCUAAUGGCUCGCAUGUUGCUGGUGCUGAGAUUGGGGACCCACCAAUAACAAAGAAGCAAGGGCGUCCAAGGUCAAAGAGAUACAAGACAGGGUUGGGGUUGCUUCCCCCAAAAAA